CGCGGCCUAUCAGCUUGUUGGUGAGGUAACGGCUCACCAAGGCUUCGACGGGUAGCUGGUCUGAGAGGACGAUCAGCCACACUGGGACUGAGACACGGCCCAGACUCCUGCGGGAGGCAGCAGUGGGGAAUCUUGCGCAAUGGGCGAAAGCCUGACGCAGCCACGCCGCGUGGGGGACGAAGGCCCUCGGGUUGUAAACCCCUUUCAGCAGGGACGAAACCGACGGUACCUGCAGAAGAAGCUCCGGCCAACUACGUGCCAGCAGCCGCGGUAACACGUAGGGCGCAAGCGUUGUCCGGAUUCAUUGGGCGUAAAGGGCUCGUAGGCGGUUUGAUAAGUCGGGUGUGAAAACUCAGGGCUCAACUCUGAGACGCCACUCGAUACUGUCAUGACUAGAGUCCGGUAGGGGAGUGCGGAAUUCCUGGUGUAGCGGUGAAAUGCGCAGAUAUCAGGAGGAACACCGAUAGCGAAGGCAGCACUCUGGGCCGGUACUGACGCUGAGGAGCGAAAGCGUGGGGAGCAAACAGGAUUAGAUACCCUGGUAGUCCACGCCGUAAACGUUGGGCACUAGGUGUGGGUUCCAUCCAACGGAAUCCGUGCCGCAGCUAACGCAUUAAGUGCCCCGCCUGGGGAGUACG
Molecule: ribosomal RNA, 638 nt
Filed under: uncultured Actinomycetes bacterium
Lineage: Bacteria; Bacillati; Actinomycetota; Actinomycetes
Description: bacterial SSU rRNA
Rfam family: Bacterial small subunit ribosomal RNA
Source: RNAcentral